GACGAACGCUGGCGGCGUGCUUAACACAUGCCAGUCGAACGGAAAGGCCCUGCUUUUGUGGGGUGCUCGAGUGGCGAAAGGGUGAGUAACACGUGAGUAACCUGCCCUUGCCUUUGGGAUAACUUCAGGAAACUUGGGCUAAUACCGGAUAUGAGCUCCUGCUGCAUGGUGGGGGUUGGAAAGUUUCGGCGGUUGGGGAUGGACUCGCGGCUUAUCAGCUUGUUGGUGGGGUAGUGGCUUACCAAGGCGUUGACGGGUAGCCGGCCUGAGAGGGUGACCGGCCACAUUGGGACUGAGAUACGGCCCAGACUCCUACGGGAGGCAGCAGUGGGGAAUAUUGCACAAUGGGCGGAAGCCUGAUGCAGCAACGCCGCGUGCGGGAUGACGGCCUUCGGGUUGUAAACCGCUUUCGCCUGUGACGAAGCGUGAGUGACGGUAAUGGGUAAAGAAGCACCGGCUAACUACGUG
RNAcentral lists this ribosomal RNA (468 nucleotides) under uncultured bacterium. RNAcentral describes it as "partial 16S ribosomal RNA". It matches the Rfam family "Bacterial small subunit ribosomal RNA", at positions 28 to 507 of the family's 1533-position model. The record is from RNAcentral.